This 331-nucleotide ribosomal RNA is filed under the name Phuphania costata. RNAcentral's name for it is "partial large subunit ribosomal RNA". Lineage: Eukaryota; Metazoa; Mollusca; Gastropoda; Stylommatophora; Dyakiidae. The record is from RNAcentral.
AAGGUAGCAUAAUAAAUUGACUUUUAAUUGAAGUCUAGAAUGAAAGGAUUAAUGAAUAUAAUCUGUCUUAUUAAAAAGUUUUUGAACUUACUUAUUAGGUGAAAAUACCUAAAAUAUGAUUUAAAAGACGAGAAGACCCUAGGAGUUUAUAAUUUUGUUGGGGUGACAGUAUAGCAAAUUUAACCUAUAUUAUAAUAUAAUGUAACGAUUUUUAUUAUAAAAAUUAAGCUACCCUAGGGAUAACAGCAUAAAGUUUAUGACCUCGAUGUUGGACUAGGGAUUUUAAUAUUAAAUAUAUUAUUUGACUUGUUCUGUUCGAACAUUUAUACCU